Molecule: long non-coding RNA, 253 nt
Filed under: Brassica rapa (field mustard)
Lineage: Eukaryota; Viridiplantae; Streptophyta; Magnoliopsida; Brassicales; Brassicaceae
Description: long non-coding RNA (BRAP_LNC007761)
Source: RNAcentral
AAAAAAUAUGAGUCCAAAGAAUACAAUCUCUUGCUGUUAAAAAUUAAAAAAAAAUACAUGUUUUACUAGACAUAUAUAAUUUAUUACUUUUAGUUUAUAAAAUUUUAAUUAAAUAAAAGUAUGUUUUUAAUUAUUGUAAAUUUUGUUAAUAUGUGUCAAUAUGAACUCCGAUGAAAAAGAAAUCCUACUAUAUAAAAGGGACUAAAUUCAAGGCUUUUGAGACUAUCCACCUCACCCAAAAUAUUCUCAUCCA